This 441-nucleotide ribosomal RNA is filed under the name uncultured Desulfobulbus sp. RNAcentral's name for it is "bacterial SSU rRNA". It matches the Rfam family "Bacterial small subunit ribosomal RNA", at positions 948 to 1382 of the family's 1533-position model. The record is from RNAcentral. Lineage: Bacteria; Pseudomonadati; Thermodesulfobacteriota; Desulfobulbia; Desulfobulbales; Desulfobulbaceae.
AAUUCGAUGCAACGCGAAGAACUUACCUGGUACUUGACAUCCCGGAAGACCCUUUAGGAACUAGGGGUGCUUCCAUCUGGAAGAAUCUGGAGACAGGUGCUGCAUGGCUGUCGUCAGCUCGUGUCGUGAGAUGUUGGGUUAAGUCCCGCAACGAGCGCAACCCUUGCCUUUAGUUGCCAGCAGUUCGGCUGGGCACUCUAAAGGGACUGCCGGUGUUAAACCGGAGGAAGGUGGGGAUGACGUCAAGUCCUCAUGGCCUUUAUGACCAGGGCUACACACGUACUACAAUGGCCGAUACAAAGGGCAGCGACACUGCGAGGUGAAGCCAAUCCCGUAAAAUCGGUACUCAGUCCGGAUUGGAGUCUGCAACUCGACUCCAUGAAGUUGGAAUCGCUAGUAAUCGUGGAUCAGCAUGCCACGGUGAAUACGUUCCCGGGCCUU